GCUGUAGUGAAGAUUUGAGAAGUGAAACAGAAAGCAAAAAUCUGUAGUUUUACAUGUCUUGCUGACUCAGGAGAGGAAAGACAUCUUUGCCUCUUAACCAGUUGUCCUCGCCACCCCCUCAGCCCCGAACUGCCGCUGGCUCUGGUAAGUUAGCAAGCAAUGCCAACAAGUGGGAAAUAAUCGAUCCUUAUACCUAACACUUUAAAUCAAAAGCAUUUAAUAAUUUUCACCAACUGUCCAAAAUAUUGCUGUUUCCGGUGGUUAAAAUGCUGUUUGUGGGGGAUACUGAGAUUAUUUAC
RNAcentral lists this long non-coding RNA (299 nucleotides) under Mustela putorius furo (domestic ferret). RNAcentral's name for it is "lncRNA (ENSMPUG00000024612.1)". Lineage: Eukaryota; Metazoa; Chordata; Mammalia; Carnivora; Mustelidae. The record is from RNAcentral.